RNAcentral lists this ribosomal RNA (424 nucleotides) under Bacteroidota bacterium. RNAcentral's name for it is "Bacteroidetes bacterium partial 16S ribosomal RNA". It matches the Rfam family "Bacterial small subunit ribosomal RNA", at positions 355 to 776 of the family's 1533-position model. RNAcentral also lists the same sequence under 1 other name. Lineage: Bacteria; Pseudomonadati; Bacteroidota. The record is from RNAcentral.
UGAGGAAUAUUGGUCAAUGGAGGAAACUCUGAACCAGCCAAGUCGCGUGAAGGAUGACGGUCCUAUGGAUUGUAAACUUCUUUAGUAGGUGAGUAAGGAUAGGUACGUGUACCUAUUAGAAAGUAGCCUAAGAAUAAGUAUCGGCUAACUCCGUGCCAGCAGCCGCGGUAAUACGGAGGAUACGAGCGUUAUCCGGAUUUAUUGGGUUUAAAGGGUGCGUAGGUGGCUGAUUAAGUCAGUGGUGAAAAGCUAUGGCUCAACCAUAGUCUUGCCGUUGAUACUGGUUAGCUUGAGUGUAGAUGAUGUAGGCGGAAUGCGUAGUGUAGCGGUGAAAUGCAUAGAUAUUACGCAGAACUCCGAUUGCGAAGGCAGCUUACAAAACUACUACUGACACUGAGGCACGAAAGCGUGGGUAUCAAACAGG